This is a non-coding RNA of Panaeolus papilionaceus, 86 nucleotides long. NCBI's taxonomy places the organism in Eukaryota, Fungi, Basidiomycota, Agaricomycetes, Agaricales. The record is from the annotation of a GenBank genome assembly.
GGGCGCAUGGUGUAGUUGGUUAUCACGCUCGCUUAGCAUUGAACUUGGUUUGCGAGAGGUGUUGGGUUCAAUUCCCAAUGCGUCCA